RNAcentral lists this ribosomal RNA (431 nucleotides) under uncultured archaeon. RNAcentral describes it as "bacterial SSU rRNA". It matches the Rfam family "Archaeal small subunit ribosomal RNA", at positions 474 to 903 of the family's 1478-position model. The record is from RNAcentral.
UACCAGCUCUCCGAGUUGUAGGGAUGAUUAUUGGGCUUAAAGCGUUCGUAGCUGGCUUAGCAAGUCUCCUGUUAAAUUCAGCGACCUAAUCGUUGAGCCGCGGGAGAUACUACUAGGCUAGGAGGCGGGAGAGGUCAACGGUACUUUCGGGGUAGGGGUGAAAUCCUAUAAUCCCGGGAGGACCACCAGUGGCGAAGGCUGUUGACUAGAACGCGCUCGACGGUGAGGGACGAAAGCUGGGGGAGCGAACCGGAUUAGAUACCCGGGUAGUCCCAGCUGUAAACUAUGCGGGCUAGGGUGUUGGGGGUGGCUACGGGCCACUUCAGUGCCGCAGGAAAGCCAUUAAGCCCGCCGCCUGGGGAGUACGGCCGCAAGGCUGAAACUUAAAGGAAUUGGCGGGGGAGCACCACAAGGCGUGAAGCUUGCGGUUC